CACACGUCAUGCCUGACGAAGACAGAAAGGUAGCUACCGGGCUGGAUCUCAACCCAGCCAUAAUACGGGAAGCCCGAAGACCACCACUUCGGAAGACGCAAGAAAAACAAGGAGAGUGACCCAUCUCUGCAAUGGAAAAAGCACAGUAAGUCCAACGAGCAACUAUGGAAAGAGAAAAGAUGAGGCAUGCGUUAAACAAGAAGGAAAUGAAAUGAGUCAAACAAAGGAGAUCACAUGAGGUAAGUGAAGACGAAGUCAGUGAAGGUUAGAUAUAGGGCGACAAGAUAGGAAAAAACAGGGAAAGGCAGGAAAGGAAAAGGAGCAUGAAAUGAAAGGCAAUGGAGAAACACGAGAAGCCUAAAGUGCACAACGAGGGAAGAAGGAAGAAGGAAUAAGUGCAUGAAAAGAAAGGCGAGGGAGAGAAAGAUGAGAAGCCUAAAGACUACCAUGAGGAAGAAGCAGGGAAGGAAUAUGAGCAUGAAAAAAAGGCUGUAAUGGUAAAAGCCUGAAAACGAACCAAGAAGGCGUCACAUGGCUGGGCAUCCAUGCCUGGGAGGAGGAAAGGGUAGCUACUGGGCAUGCUGCAACCUCUACGAGUGAUGGAACUUGUGCGCUACCUCCCCCUGAGGAGUCCGGGGCUGCUAGCCAGAAGAAGCAUCUCUCUGGAACACAGAAAGCGCUUCCAGUCAUGCCGGGAAGGAGGAAAGGGUAGCUACCGGGCAUGGAUCUACCCAGCCAUCAGACGGGAAGCCCGAAGACCACCACUUCGGAAGACGCAAGAACAACCAGGUGGAGUUAUCCCAUCCGUGCAAUUGAGAAAGAUGAGAAGCGUUAUGUCGGCCACCCAGGAAGACGCAAGAACAACCAGGUGGAGUUAUCCCAUCCGUGCAAUUGAGAAAGUCCUGCAAAUCCAUCCAGCAAUGGAGGAAAUGGGAGAGACAAGGCUUGAGUUAAACAAGUUGGAAGGGCAAAGAGAAAAUAAUCAAGAAAGAUCACAUGAGGUUAGAGUAGGCAAUGUUAGGGGGAGAAGCAAUGUGACGUGGAAUGGAAAGACAGGGAAGGAAAUGGAGAAUGAAUAG
This 1079-nucleotide long non-coding RNA is filed under the name Coturnix japonica (Japanese quail). RNAcentral describes it as "lncRNA (ENSCJPG00005013383.1)". Lineage: Eukaryota; Metazoa; Chordata; Aves; Galliformes; Phasianidae. The record is from RNAcentral.